Non-coding RNA from Equus caballus (horse), 8652 nucleotides. Lineage: Eukaryota; Metazoa; Chordata; Mammalia; Perissodactyla; Equidae. The record is from RefSeq and is a predicted model, not a curated record.
GUCCAGGGGUCGCCAGGGAAGAGGUGAGCUCCUCCUCUGUGCCCCCAUCUUGGGUGAAGGGUUUCCCCCACAGUUCUGCGGUUGUUAAUCUUUAAUAGCCUGAUGAUUAAUUAAUUACCAAGACCCACGGGGGCUCAGUUGAGUGUUCCUGGUGCCUGUGACCAGGGCACCCUCUCCUCAGCCCCUGUCCCCCCCGUGCGAGCUGGGAGACAAUGGCCAGGCCCACCAGACUCCCGGACACAGAGGGGGGCAUCAUGGUCACUGCUGUGGGCAAACUGUGCUCUGUCCUGGGCGCUGGCCACAGCACAGCCUUCAGGGGACAGGGACAGGGCAAGGGCCGCCAGAGGAAGGAAGACAGAAGCCCAGAGGCCAGGCUGGGCGAGGAGGGCCUCUGGGGCCUCCUCCCAGCCUCCGAUACAUGGGGUCUCUUUGCACUCUGCGGGGCGCCCUGGGGCCUUUGUGUCCUCUGCGUCCAGCAUCGUGCUGGCUCUGGGGCGAGCUGGGGCCAGCCGGCGUCUGCUGACUGGACAGGACGGGCCCAGGCUGGGUUCUGAGCCUUCCGCCCCUGCACAGCCCGAGCCUCAGUUUCCCUCUCUACCUCACUGUCCAUGCUUACCUCACAGGGUAAACAGGGAAGAACGACUCUCUAAUGGAAACAGCGGGGGGCGGCAGCUGCGGGGAGUGGAGGAGAUUUGGGGCCAGGCUUCUUGCUGAGAAGCAGUAGGAUAGGUCACGUGGCUCCUAAUUCAGGAGGUGGCCUUGGCUAAAUCCUUUCUUCUCUUUCAGCCUCAGUUCCCCCACCUGUAAAAUCAGGGGCUGGGAUCAGUGAAUGCCCAGGACCCUGGGGGCACCUGUAAUGGGUGAGCGGGUCAUUGGUGCCACGCAGAGGCCCCCAGCCCACGGCUCCCCUCCCCUCUCCAUCCCCACCACACCCCAGGGUGCUCAGCUCAUACUCCCGGGCAGGUGUGGGCUGUGCAUGUCAGCCGGUCAUCUCUCCAGGAUCACAGGAAGGCUCCUUAUGGGGAGGUCUGAGGACCUUGGGCAGCUUCCAGCCUGGUCAGCCUGGGCAGGUGCGAGCAACGUCAGCCCUGCUCGUGUUGACCAUUUUUGCCUCAUGGCUGAGGGGACGGAGCCUCCCAGAAAACCUGAGACUCUGACCCUGGGGGGUAAGGGAUCUUUGAAGACAUCUGGUCUUCUGGGAGUUGAGAAUUUUUAAAAAUUGAAAUGAAAUAACACCAGUGAUACCUAAAUCCAUAAACAUGCUUUCCUUGCAGGAAGGCACAUCUACCUUCCCACCCGUAGGGUCGAACAGUGUCCCCCAAAUCCAUGUUCUCCCAGAACCUCAGAAUGUGACCUCGUUUGGAAUAAAGGGUUUUGCAGAUGUAGUUAGAAUAAGGAUCUCGAAAUAAGAUCAUGCUGGAAUUGGGCGGAUCCUAAAUGCAAGGAGAGCAUCCUUCUAAGAGAAAGGAGAGCGAGAGUUGAAAACAGAGCCGCAGGAGAGAAGCCAUGUGCGCAUGUGCGACAGAGCCGCAGGAGAGAAGCCAUGUGCGCAUGUGCGACAGAGGCAGAGACUGGAGUGACGCAGCCGCGAGCCAAGGAACGCCGGGAGCCCCGGGGAGCUGGACAAGGCAGGGACACAGUCUCGCCCGGAGCCUUCGGACUGAGUGCGGCUCUGAUUUGACUUAGCACUUGUGGCCUCCAGGACGGAGUGGUGCUUUUAAACCUUAAAUAGGCGCACACCCCACGCCAUGCUGUCAAGGGCUCUCAGCCCCCCGCCACGUGUAUCUGGGAGAAGCUCCGAGGUUCUUGCUACAGUGACGUCAUCCUUUCUAACAGCUGCAGGUGCUAGAAAAUCACUCACUCCAGGCUUCAUUGCAACAGACAGAUCCUGCACUGCUUGUUCCUUUGGGGGCCUCAUCCUCCAGGAAGCCGUCCCUGACCUCCCAGGCUGAGCUGGCACCCCUCUGCAGCCCCCAUUCUACCCUCUGCUGCAGCGUGCGCCCCACUGUGCGGUCACGGCCUGUUUAUGGCCUCAGGCUGCAGCUCCCUGAGGGCAUUGUUAGAAGGACCAGAAAGCAGUUGAAGUGUGCAAAGUGAGGACAAGGUGGGUGCGCCCAUAGGUGGGUUCCUGGGGAUGCUUACGUAGCCGAGUGAUCCUCAGCCGGCCUGUGCACCCUGACUGUGCACUUGAGCCUCUGUGUGUUCUGGCGGGCCUGUACGAGGUGCGUGUGUGCAUGUCUGUGCAUGGAGCCAUGUGCAUGGCGCGUCCAUGUGCGAGUGUGCGUGUGCUCCUGGGGGCGGUCUGCAGCAAGGAAAGUCUUGCAGCAGCUGCUACAUCCGGGUCCCACCAGCCCUCACGGGGGAACUAAAAAUAGCCUGUGCCCAGCCCUGACCCAGCGGGCAGGGGGCCGAGGGGCAGCCCCGCAGGGCACCCCGGCCGGGCUGUUGCCCUCCUCCCUCCUGGGGCCACCGCCCUGCCUGCGGCCCAGUCUCGGGCUCCCAUGAGCUCAUGCCGGCCCUGGCCAGCAGGGCGGGGAGGGCAGCCCAGGGCUGAGGCCCUGCCCACGGCCGGCGCUGGACACAGGCAAGGCCUGAUAAGGUCAAGCUGGAGUGGGGUCCGCCCCUCCUCCAGCCUGGCCGCGGGCGGACGUGAGUCAGCACAGGGGGCAUCGGGCAGCCCGGCUGACGCUGCUGGCAGCAGGGGAGGCCGGGGGUGGGCCGCCCGGGCAGGGCAGGGACUGGCCAGGAGGAAUCACCUGCUGCCUCGGCCAAGCCCUGACCUCAGUCCCCACCUUGAGGACCCCACCUCCACUUCCGCCGGGAAAGCCCCUCUCAGAGGCUCCCCCGGGCUUCCUGCCCUGGUCUGGGAUCACCCCUGGCCUUGGGAGGGCUGUCGCCCACCGGGCCCCAGGGCGUCCACACGCCCCUGCCCCAAGACAUCCUCUCGGACCCCCCAGCUGGCCACGACAGACCCUGGCUGUGGAGCUGAGAAAGGGGGGCACCUGGGAGGAGCAGGGACGCUCUGAGAAGCUGGCCCCUGAGCUCUGAGCCAGCUUCCAUAACUUCUGCUCGUAUGACUCAGUUUCCUCAUCUGUAGAAUGGGCUUAUGACUGCCUGCCCUCACAGAGUUGUCACGAGGAUUGAAGGGCUCUUGGCACAUAGUAGGCCUCAUCCGGGCUAGCUCCCCUCCCACAUCCUCUCUAGCUCCCAGGGAGCUGGCCCCAGACCCCAGGACACCUGCAAAUCCCCCUUCACUUCCCAGGCUCAGAGAAUGACAGGAGGGGGACAACCGAAAAAAGCAAAAAACUGAUAUACUUGCUGAAGUGACCAACAAUCCAAACACGUCAAGGGGUGUGGAGUGAGUGGUCCCCUCCCACGCCCUCCCCCGUCCCUUUCUAGAAUAUUCUAGAGAUGGCCUAUGCAGACACAUACAAAGACAGAUUUAUAUCCUCUUCUCCACCUUAAACACACACCGCGGACGGCAGAGUUCCCUCCUGCACCCGGAGGAGGGCCUGUGUCCAUGCAUGCAGAGCCCCCUCGUUCUCAUCUGUGGUGUGUGUCCCAUCAUUACUUAGCCAGACUGUGGCCGGAAGUGCUAUUUAUUUGUCUGUUUGUUAAGACAAGGGAGCAGCUUCCCGGAAGGGUCCCUCCUCGAGUCUGCGGAGGGAGACCUGGGUCUGAGUCAGGUCUGGACGUCCCACUCAAGGGACCUGGCACAUCUUGCCUCAGUUUCCCACCUGUGAGAUGGUGGCCGCAUCCGUCAAUGAGACCGUGUUGCUACCUGCUGGCCCACAGGCUGUAUCCUGUUUAUGGAUGUGUUCUGCUCCUCAAACUUUUCCAAAAUCUGGAGAUUUCACAUUAAAAUCCAGACUUCUGGAUUCUCUUGAAAAAUUAAAUGUCUGGCAACAGCUGGCUAGAGUCAAGGAGCAGCUGCCCUCUCCGGACCGGGCGAGGGUGCUCUGCUUGGCCCAGCCCCCACUACUCUGCAUUGCUCCUCCUCAGGAGCAUCUGUGAUGCUCGCUCAGAGUUGUGCAGACACAGUGAGGGCUCUGAGCGCAGGGUCCCCAGCGGCCAGCGCAGGCCCAGUUUCACCCUCUUGCUGGAUCCUCAGGGUGUCUGGGACUCAGUAGCCAGAGCCGCUGCUGGUCCUGGAACCCAGGGCCGAGCAAGAGGCUCCAGAGUGUCCUCCUGCCAGACGGGAAGCGGAAGUGCCAUGUCCGGGAUGGGCCCUGGGUCUGGGCUCCCAGCCAGGCAGCCGUGUCCUGGGAGGCAGGAGCCGAGACUUCUUCCCUCUGCUGGAGCCGGAAGCUGGGCUCCAGGCACCUGGAGUUCUCAUCUCCUGGUCCCCAGGAUGCGGAUUCCGGCACACGACCCCCACGCCUUCCUCUUCCCCACCUACGUUUGGCAGCCACAUCCUGUAGCGGUGGGUGGGGCCCAAACAGGAGGCAGGGAUGUGGGUGGAAUCCCGGGAGACCUGAGGGGCAUCCUUUCUCAAGGGCAGUUGAAAUCUCUUCUUGGCCCCAGGGUGCCUUGGAGCACGGUUUGAAAAACACUGAUGGAGCCCUUUUGAUAGAUGGAAAAACAGAGGCCUGGAGGGGGGAAGGGGGAGAGUCAGACCCUGGGGGCCCUUGUAGUCCCCACUUCCCAAAAUCUGCUACAGGGCCUGGCAGGUGAAAUUGCACUUCACAGUGCCCCCAGCCCACCUGCCCUGGCAGCCCCCUGCUCUCAUUGUCCAGAAGGCCAGGGAGGCGUUGGGGCUCCAUGACUUCCCGUGUAGGACACCCCACAUCUGCAAGUCUCACUCGGCUGCAUCUGCCAAAUGCCCACCUCACAGGGUUGUGAGGAGCGACAGAGAUGACAAUGCGAAGAACAAGAUGGCCAGGCCUAGCAGCUCCCACUCCCUGCGCUCCGACCCGAGGCUGCACAGGCGGGCUCCGAGCGUCGCCUUGGUUAUCGAGACAGAAUUUACCUCCCAUAAAGCUCGCCCAUUUCAAGUGUGUGGUUCAAGGGUUUUCAGUGUAUUUACAGAGUUGUCCAACCAUCACCAUCUAAUUUUAGAUUGUCCCCAAAUCUAAUUUUGUCUAAUAAUGUAAAUUAGAUUGUCUAAAAAAUCUAAUUUUACAUUGUCGCAAGAAGAAAUCCAAUACUCACGAGCAGUCCCUGCCAUUCCUCUUCUCCAGGCCCCGGAAACACCAGUCUACUCUCUACGGAUUUACCGAUUUUGGACAUUUCAUACAAUGAAAUCAUAUAAUAUGCCGGCUUUUGUGACUGACUUCUUUCACCGAGCAAAGUGUCGUAGCGUGUAUCAGUACUUGAUUCUUUUUUACGGCUGGAUAAUAUUCCACCAUAUAGAUACACCAUUUUGUUUAUCCAUUCGUCCACUGAUGGACAUGUGGGUUGUUCCACUCUUUGACUGUUACGAAGAAUGCUGCCAGGAACAUCCCCGCCCAGGUCUUUGCGAGGACGUGUUUCCGUUCCCCUGGGGUGCAUACCUAGGUGGGAACUCCUAGGUCAUAUGGUAACUCUUUAUUUAACAUUUUGAGAAACUGUUCGACUGUUCCCGACGUGGCCGAAUCAUUUUUCGUUCCCACCAGCAGGGCAUGAGGACCUCCAUGUCUCUACGUCCUCACCGACACUGUUACUGUCUUUGUGCGUACAACCGUCCUAGUGGGUGUGAGGUAGUAUCUCGCUGUGGUUUUGAUUUUUAUUUUCCUAAAGACUAAUCACAUUGCCCAUCCUUUCACGUGCUUAUCAGUCAUUCAUAGAUAUUUUCUGGAGAAACGUCUAUUCAAAUGGCAGCAUCUUGUUUAAUCCUCACAAAAACAUCAUGGAUCUCUACUGUUCCCAGCUCCACUGAUGAUAAUGAGAACACUGAGGUUCCGAGGAGCUCCUGAGAGACGGUGGGGAAGGGCUGGCGAGGGUGGGCCACCAUGCUGGGGUACCAAACCGGGAGGAGGGACCUCAUGCGCCACAAAGUUGUGCGGGUGGAGGGCGUGGGUGAUGUGGGCAGGAGGUUGAGGACUGCUGGGGCUGCGGGCUGGAAGACUGAGCCCUGAGUCCUAUUUCUGUCUUCCUCUGUCUUGCUCUGUGACCUUGGGCAAGACACAUCCUACUCUGGGCCUCAGUUUCCCAACUAACAAUGCCUCUAUUCUGCUGUGAGAGCCCAAUUUGGUUCUCUAAGUGAAUUCACUGAAGGCAAGAUGAGGGGCUUGGUGGUUUAGACCCCAGGGGCCCCCACUCUAGUCACUGGCCCACCGGGGCUGGCUGCAGGCGGGGCCUCUGCUCUGGGUCCCCAGCCAGCCUGCCCUCCUGGGCACCCACACGGGCAGGUUGUGGGUCUUCAGGAAGGCCCUGCUCAGGCUGGGGUGGGUGGAGAGCAGCCGGGCAGCUGGUCUGUGGGAAGAGCAUGUCAGUCCCUCGGCGAGCACCUCCUCCCCACUGUCCACCUGCCCGCUUCCACCUGGGGCGUGGGGAGGCAGGAAGCUAAAAAGGGGGCUGGAGCAGGGUCAGGCUGGGGAGGAAGGUAGGCUGAGAGCCCCUCCUCUGGUAAGAAACGGAGCAGACUGGGUCAUUCACUCUCUCAUACAUUCAUCAGUCCGUCAUCCAGCCCUGGGCGCCACCCUUUCACGGCCCUGUGUCUUCCCGAUGGGAGUGCUGAGCACAGUGUGGUCAUUGCCUCGGGAAACUUGCUGAAGGAGAGGACACCAAAGCCUGGGACCUGUGCUGCCACCUGAGCACACCCAGCCUGCCCUCACAGGUCUCCCGGAGGAGCAGGAGAGACAGAGAGACAACCAGUGUAGCACCCACGGCAGCUCCCCGAGUGUUGACGAGAGGCUGGCACUGGCCUAAGGCCCUCGAACAAGCCAAUCCACUAUGCAGCACCCUUAUGGUAAAACCGUCAUUGUCUCCGUUUAUAGAUGGGGAAACUGAGGCUCAGAGAGGAGCAGAGACUGGCUCCAGGGGCCCCAGGGAGUUAGUUGCAGAAGCAGGGGCAGAAACUUGAUGUCCUGCUCCCAGCUCCGGGUUCCUUCCCCACACCACGCCGCCUUCCUUGCUGUUCUGCACCCCACCCUCUAGAAUUCAGAGGGGGUGCUCUGCAACCCCUGCCCCUUUCUUGCAAUAUUUGACCCGUAUUUGAGGAUGGAUGUCAGGUGUGGCUGAAGAGGAACUUGCAGCAGCCGUGGGAACUGGGUUCAAGCUUUCACUCUGCUAUCAAGAUGCUGUGUGACUUGGGCAAGGCCCCCAACCUCUCUGGUUCCAGCUUCCUCAUUGGUCAGCCAGAAGGCUGGACCGGAUGCUUUUGAAGGGCUCUUGGCAGGGGCUGUAUCUUAGGGCAGCUCCGGAGAGUGUGGGGUGGCUCAGGGUGGGCUCCCUGGGGGAAGUACAAGGCUUGGGGGAGGAUGGCUGCAGCCUACAGGUCACUUUCCAGGGGACACUGGAGAUUUGUCCCCCUCCCCACCAGCUCUGGCUCGGCUUAUCAUCCACUUGUCUUGGGCGGCUCUUCCGAGUGGCAUCUCGGGUUUCAGCUCAGAAUCUGUGAUACUGGGGUCGUGGGAGACGCAGGGGCAGGUGGGUGGCCCGCUGCUAGCAGAGCUGUGGGCAACCCGUCUCUCCCGGGUUAUCUCUGGGCUGGGAUAGGCUGGAAAGUGAGAAGCUGCCUUAUCUCCUCCACUUCCCUCCGGAGACAGGGCUGCCUCAAAGCCCUCUUGUUCGGCCCCCCAUGCCCACUGGCCCCCUGGGAGGUGGGGGCACCAGUGCAGCACUGAGGCCGUGGGGGGGCAGCAAGAAGUGAGACCCAGUGGACCGAGCACCAGGCGGGGGCAAGGGGCCACAAGGGUUUCAAACCCCCCAUUCACUCCCUCACCAUACACUUGAACACCUACUGUGUGCCAGAGCAGAGGCGAGAUUUAAACUAGCUCACACCCAGUGUGGCCCAGGCCCUGGCCAGUCAGGUGACCAGGGAGCGCAGGUCCAGGGAUCCCCUGCUGGGCCAGGUGGCUCAUGAGGAGGACUGGGGGCUCCGGGGGGGGGGCCAGGCAGCAUGGGGGGCAUUGGAGGCCUGGAGCCGAGGCUGGUUACCGGGUGACAUGCAAGGCCUCCCAGAGACCCACACCUGCAGGGUCACGGUGUGGACGGGGGGCAGAGCGCCCCCUCGGUGGGUGUGGCCUUGCGCUCCGUGUGUAAGUGGGUCUGGGGGUGGCUUGUUCUGCACAGGCAGCUGAGCUGGAAGCUUGCCCCUCUGUGUCCGUGGCUGCACACUGUGCUGGCGCAAAUUAGGGGGACCUGACGAAAUUGCUGCUGUGUGACCAUUUUCGACAAAAAGAGCCAUUUCCGUGGAACUCGUGACCAUGUCCCCUCGCAGGGCAAAAGGGACUUUGUGGAUGUCAUUAAGUUCAGGAUCUUGAGGUGGGAGGUUUGCCUGGAUUAUCCGGGCGGGCCUGGUGUCAUCACAAGGGUCUUUCUCAGAGGCAGACAAACUGACCUGUACACUUAAAAACAAUGGGUAAAAUGGCAAAAGUUGUGUUAGAUAUAUUUUCCUACAAUUUUAGAAAAUUAAUAACGUAAUAAACCCCAAAUCAUUACACUGCACACUUUAAAUGGGUGAAUUGUAUGGUACGUGAAUUAUAUCUCAAUAAAACUGUUAAAAAAAAA